Molecule: long non-coding RNA, 629 nt
Filed under: Fukomys damarensis (Damara mole-rat)
Lineage: Eukaryota; Metazoa; Chordata; Mammalia; Rodentia; Bathyergidae
Description: lncRNA (ENSFDAG00000026543.1)
Source: RNAcentral
CUCUGGGGGAUGGGACAGGACCCCACAAGUUGGGGCAGGGGACACUUGUAUCCAUUCUUCUUGGAUGAUCCUCACCCCAGCCGUAGGAGGAGGUGGGCAAGUCUCCAUGGCACUCAGGCUCUUUACCACAUCCAUCCCCAGCUACUGGCUUGCUGGCUACCAUGAGUGUCUAUUCAGUGUGUACUUACUCUGUGCCCAGCACCGAGGACCACAGCAGCAGAGUGAACACUGUAGCAGUCACUGGUCUGCAGCUCACUCUGAGUUGACAAACACAGAGACUUAUACCUGUGGAACCCGACCAGGAGGUGAUGUUGGUGGCAGUGAUGGAGGAUGGUUGGGCAGAGGACUGGGGCGCUGCUCUCUGGAGAUGCAGGGGAAUGGGGGCCACGGGGUGCACUAAUGGAAGGAUCUGGGGUGUUAGAGAGGGUCCAGGAUGACAUGCAGGGUUUGGGCCUGACAGUUGCCACAUGCUAAAUUGGGAAGGAUGAGGAUGGUGUAGGUUUGGGGAGCAAGAGGUUCAGGCUUAGGCAUAUGAAACUCGAGGUUCCUAUUAGGCACACACGUGCAGAUUGUGAAUGAAAAAUCGGAUACAUAAGCUGUAGCUCAGAAGAGAUACGCAAGCUUGGGAA